This 408-nucleotide ribosomal RNA is filed under the name uncultured bacterium. RNAcentral describes it as "partial 16S ribosomal RNA". It matches the Rfam family "Bacterial small subunit ribosomal RNA", at positions 30 to 526 of the family's 1533-position model. The record is from RNAcentral.
AUUGAACGCUGGCGGCGUGCCUAAUACAUGCAAGUCGAACGGAGUGGCGCACGGGUGAGUAAUGUAUAGCUAAUCUGCCCUACACUAGAGGGCAACAGUUGGAAAAGACUGCUAAUACUCUAUAGUGUAGGAUGAGGCUAUAUUGUAUCAGCUAGUUGGUGAGGUAAGGGCUCUCUAAGGCUAUGACGAGUAACUGGUCUGAGGGGAUGCGCUGUCACACGUGAACUGAGGCACGUGCCGGACUCCUUCCGGAGGCAGCAGUAGGGAAUAUUGCUCAAUGGGGGAAUACCUGAAGCGGCUUCGCCGCGUGGAGGAUGACACGCUUCGGAGCGUAAACUCCGUUUGUUAGGGAAGCGGUACCUAACGAAUAAGCACCGGCUAACUCCGUGCCAGCCGCCGCGGUAAUAC